Molecule: ribosomal RNA, 492 nt
Filed under: uncultured bacterium
Lineage: Bacteria
Description: partial 16S ribosomal RNA
Rfam family: Bacterial small subunit ribosomal RNA
Source: RNAcentral
AGUGAACGCUGGCGGUAGGCCUAACACAUGCAAGUCGAACGGCAGCACAGUAAGAGCUUGCUCUUACGGGUGGCGAGUGGCGGACGGGUGAGGAAUACAUCGGAAUCUACUUUUUCGUGGGGGAUAACGUAGGGAAACUUACGCUAAUACCGCAUACGACCUACGGGUGAAAGCAGGGGAUCUUCGGACCUUGCGCGAUUGAAUGAGCCGAUGUCGGAUUAGCUAGUUGGCGGGGUAAAGGCCCACCAAGGCGACGAUCCGUAGCUGGUCUGAGAGGAUGAUCGGCCACACUGGAACUGAGACACGGUCCAGACUCCUAAGGGAGGCAGCAGUGGGGAAUAUUGGACAAAGGGCGCAAGCCUGAUCCAGCCAUACCGCGUGGGUGAAGAAGGCCUUCGGGUUGUAAAGCCCUUUUGUUGGGAAAGAAAAGCAGCAGGUUAAUACCCCGCUGUUCUGACGGUACCCAAAGAAUAAGCACCGGCUAACUUCGUG